UACGUAGGGUGCGAGCGUUGUCCGGAUUUAUUGGGCGUAAAGAGCUCGUAGGCGGUUUGUCGCGUCGGCCGUGAAAUCUCCACGCUUAACGUGGAGCGUGCGGUCGAUACGGGCAGACUUGAGUUCGGUAGGGGAGACUGGAAUUCCUGGUGUAGCGGUGAAAUGCGCAGAUAUCAGGGGGAACACCGGUGGCGAAGGCGGUUCUCUGGGCAUUACCUGACGCUGAGGAGCGAAAGUGUGGGGAGCGAACAGG
This 253-nucleotide ribosomal RNA is filed under the name uncultured bacterium. RNAcentral describes it as "partial 16S ribosomal RNA". It matches the Rfam family "Bacterial small subunit ribosomal RNA", at positions 524 to 776 of the family's 1533-position model. The record is from RNAcentral.